UAGUCCACGCCGUAAACGAUGUCAACUAGCCGUUGGAGUCCUUGAGGCUUUAGUGGCGCAGCUAACGCAAUAAGUUGACCGCCUGGGGAGUACGGCCGCAAGGUUAAAACUCAAAUGAAUUGACGGGGGCCCGCACAAGCGGUGGAGCAUGUGGUUUAAUUCGAGGCAACGCGAAGAACCUUACCAGCCCUUGACAUCCCGGUCGCGGAUAGCAGAGAUGCUUUCCUUCAGUUCGGCUGGACCGGUGACAGGUGCUGCAUGGCUGUCGUCAGCUCGAGUCGUGAGAUGUUGGGUUAAGUCCCGCAACGAGCGCAACCCUUACCUUUAGUUGCCAGCAUUUAGUUGGGCACUCUAGAGGGACUGCCGGUGAUAAGCCGGAGGAAGGUGGGGAUGACGUCAAGUCAUCAUGGCCCUUAUGGGCUGGGCUACACACGUGCUACAAUGGCGGUGACAGAGGGCAGCCACUCCGCAAGGAGGAGCUAAUCCCUAAAAACCGUCUCAGUUCGGAUUGUA
Molecule: ribosomal RNA, 513 nt
Filed under: uncultured bacterium
Lineage: Bacteria
Description: bacterial SSU rRNA
Rfam family: Bacterial small subunit ribosomal RNA
Source: RNAcentral